ACCUCUUAUGCCUGGUGGCACACACAGAUCCCAUAGCCUGGCAAAGCCCAUGGAGUUUCAAGUCAGCUGCAGAUCCUUUGGGAUGACUUGGUAAGAGUCAAUGUCCUAGUGUGUUUGCAUAGGAAAUGCCAGGCUCAUGCCUAAUGGCAUUGGCAGAUGACAUUACUGUGCCCCAACCCAGUCCUAGACGAGGACAGCCCUUGGCCUUUGCUUCAAUGUCCUAUUGCUUCAUGACAUCACAGGAGUAUCUGCAGCUCAUAUGUAAUUUAUGUUAAAUUGUGACACCUCUGAGCUCUGGAGGGCCUUAGGUGUAGAUGAUUUCUUCACACUCCAUAUACUAUCAUUCACUUAUUGAGAAGA
Molecule: long non-coding RNA, 360 nt
Organism: Gavialis gangeticus (Gharial)
Lineage: Eukaryota; Metazoa; Chordata; Crocodylia; Gavialidae
Exons: 3
Source: RefSeq, a predicted model, not a curated record